RNAcentral lists this ribosomal RNA (468 nucleotides) under uncultured bacterium. RNAcentral describes it as "bacterial SSU rRNA". It matches the Rfam family "Bacterial small subunit ribosomal RNA", at positions 335 to 793 of the family's 1533-position model. The record is from RNAcentral.
ACUCCUACGGGUAGGCAGCAGUGGGGAAUAUUGCACAAUGGGCGCAAGCCUGAUGCAGCCAUGCCGCGUGUAUGAAGAAGGCCUUCGGGUUGUAAAGUACUUUCAGCAGUGAGGAAGGCGGGUACGUUAAUAGCGUGCUUGUUUGACGUUAGCUGCAGAAGAAGCACCGGCUAACUCCGUGCCAGCAGCCGCGGUAAUACGGAGGGUGCGAGCGUUAAUCGGAAUUACUGGGCGUAAAGCGCAUGCAGGUGGUUUGUUAAGUCAGAUGUGAAAGCCCGGGGCUCAACCUCGGAAUUGCAUUUUGAAACUGGCAGACUAGAGUACUGUAGAGGGGGUAGAAUUUCAGGUGUAGCGGUGAAAAUGCGUAGAGAUCUGAAGGAAUACCGGUGGCGAAGGCGGCCCCCUGGACAGAUACUGACACUCAGAUGCGAAAGCGUGGGGAGCAAACAGGAUUAGAUACCCUGGUAG